Molecule: non-coding RNA, 76 nt
Organism: Phaethon lepturus (White-tailed tropicbird)
Lineage: Eukaryota; Metazoa; Chordata; Aves; Phaethontiformes; Phaethontidae
Source: Rfam
CUGAGCUAGUGAUGAUAAAUGUUAUCCCUGUCUGAAAUUAAUCUUUCCUAUGUGGAAGCAUGACUCUGAGGCUCAG